This 326-nucleotide RNase P RNA is filed under the name Desulfurococcaceae archaeon MEX13E-LK6-19. Its description in RNAcentral is "RNase P RNA component". It matches the Rfam family "Archaeal RNase P". Rfam says of the family: Ribonuclease P (RNase P) is a ubiquitous endoribonuclease, found in archaea, bacteria and eukarya as well as chloroplasts and mitochondria. The record is from RNAcentral. Lineage: Archaea; Thermoproteati; Thermoproteota; Thermoprotei; Desulfurococcales; Desulfurococcaceae.
GGGCCCGGCUAGCCGCUACGGGGUCGCAGACCCCGAGGAAACUCCGCACUCCCCGCGGCCGCCACGGCCCCGAAAAGGGGCACGGGUAGCACCCGUGGCUCCGGCACAGAAACGACACGGCCGCUACCGGAUGUCUAUGAGGCGGCGAGGGCUCCCCGGCAACGGGGAGCCGGUAACCCGCCGAGUAUGGUAGCGGAUGCGUUGAAACGGCCGGUCCCGUGGGGAGCAAGGCCCUGUGUCCCGGGAUGAGGUGGCCGCGCGACCCGGGAGGUGGGCCGCUUAGUCGAAUGCGGCUGUAGUACAGAAUGCGGGUUAUAGCCGGGCCC